Molecule: transfer RNA, 71 nt
Filed under: Loxodonta africana (African savanna elephant)
Lineage: Eukaryota; Metazoa; Chordata; Mammalia; Proboscidea; Elephantidae
Rfam family: tRNA
About the family: Transfer RNA (tRNA) molecules are approximately 80 nucleotides in length. Their secondary structure includes four short double-helical elements and three loops (D, anti-codon, and T loops).
Source: Rfam by way of RNAcentral
GCAUUGGUGGUUUAGUGGUAGAAUUUUCACCUUCUAUACAAGCGAUCCGGGUUCAAUUCCCGGCCAGUGCA